This 483-nucleotide long non-coding RNA is filed under the name Solanum tuberosum (potato). Its description in RNAcentral is "long non-coding RNA (STUB_LNC005709)". The record is from RNAcentral. Lineage: Eukaryota; Viridiplantae; Streptophyta; Magnoliopsida; Solanales; Solanaceae.
CAACUCAAUCAACCUUUUCUCAAUAAUAAAAAGGAGCUUGGGGUGUGGGGGAAAGGAUCAACCCACACAAAGAACUCACAUACCUUGGUAGGGAUCACCCCCGACGAAAAUCCACGAUGAUCUUGACGGAACUUGUUGAUAUCCUCGAUUUCCUCUUCUUCUUCUCCUCUUCUUCUCUUCUUCUUCUCUUCUUCACUCUCAAGCCCUAGCCUUCACUCUCUUAAAAAUGGAACAAAAUGAUCCAAAGAUCAGCCCUAUACAACAAUACAUCCUCAAAAGAAAUAGCUAGGGAAAAGACCAAAAUGCCCUUAAUGAUUCCCGGACGGAUUUCCUUGUCAACUGCCCAACUUUCAAAGGCCAUAACUCGCUCAUACGAACUCGGAAUUGAGCAAACUCGGUGGCGUUGGAAAGAUCAUUCCACAAGCUUCACAACCAUAACUGGAACUACUCCUAACUCAUCCUGAGCUAGAAGUUAUGACUGCU